This 7713-nucleotide long non-coding RNA is filed under the name Sorghum bicolor (sorghum). Its description in RNAcentral is "long non-coding RNA (SBIC_LNC003708)". Lineage: Eukaryota; Viridiplantae; Streptophyta; Magnoliopsida; Poales; Poaceae. The record is from RNAcentral.
UGGCCCCCACUCACCAACUUGAUGGUCGUCGACAUGGCUGGGACAAACUGUUGCAAGCCUCCUUGCAGCGAGCAGUACGCGCGCGUCGCGACACGGCGGCCGAUUCAGCAGACCCACCACCGGAAUUGUGACGCCCAACUCUUUUUCGACGAUGGGAAUAUAUAUGGACUAUAGUCUGCUAGUCAUCACCGUCUUGACUACUGAGCUUUGCCGCCGUGCAACCUGCAAGUGUGUGUGUGCAUGAUCUAUCACUGAGCUUAGACUCUUGUGGUAAUUUCUCCAUCGGUUGGAUGCUAAAAUUAUCUUCUCCUGCGAUGUUGUUUGCUCUGGACCAAUCCUUUGCUAUCCUUCUUCUAACCCCACGUGAAACAGGGAAUCUAGCACAGUAUAUAUGCAGCGCCCAUUUGAAUGGGAGAAGAUAUGAGGUUUGUUUGGUUUGAGCAAUGAUGUGAUGUUCAAUUGUUUUUUACAUUAAAUUUAUAUGGAAUUUUUUUUUUACAUUAAAUUUAUAUGGCGCUCGAGCACUUCUAGUGCUCGAAGCUCUUGAUUUCGUGUAUGUUGGAUCUUCCGUGAGGACGAAGGCGAUGAUACGGUGAAGCGGGGUUGCGAUCGGAUGCCUCAUUCUUGUCUGCCUCGGCUUUUCUCGCUGAGCCACCACACGCCCCAGUGACCCUGCCGUCCUAGCACCGCCAUCACCUAAGCAUCGAGCCGCCGCAGACGACGCACCAUGAGCCCCAAUGGCCCUACUGUCCAUCGCCGCCAUCGCUCACGCGCCGAGCAUCCGAGCCGCGAUGUCGUAAUGUCCCCGUGCAAGCCGAAGCAUCUCCCUUCUCAAUUGUCCGCUGCCGGCAUGGUCACGUUGCAGCUAGGGCCGAGCAACCACCACCGCAACCUUGUGCAAUUGAUUCAUUCCUUGAUUAGAGGUUGUAGUUUACAUAUCACUAUAGCAUAUUUACUAUUUUUCUGUGUGGGUGUAAGUUUUAUGUUCAGUUCGUGUAAAUUGAUUGUUUGCAAAUGAGAAUGACUUUUUGGAUUACUGAACAGUUCUCUAGUCUUUUUUUUUACUCUUUUUUUGGUUUGUCUGUAUAGUUUAUUGGUCUCCCUUUCAAGUGUUCCAAUUUAGCUUUUAUAGAAAUAAUCUAAGUAUUUUUUUUUAUUUUAUAUGUUCCAUCUGUUUGCAUUAAUCUUGAUCUGGAUUCUGUGGUUAUGAAAAUCUAAUGUUUCAUGGCCUUGAAACACUUGAUUACGUCCUCAGACCAAUUUCGAGUGUUUUUAGCCGCUUGACACUCGGGUGUCAGGAGCUUCUAAAACACUGGACUACAAAGUAGACAAGCUCUUUUUUAUCACAUUUUUAUCCGUUUAUGGAAUAUGAUAGAUUGAUUUCUGUCAUAUUAUCACUCACAAACUAAUAAGCACAAGGCACGUAAGCCAUUGUAACAUAAUUUAUAGAUAAACUCACAAUAGACCAUCUUACACAUUAAGGUAGAGUGGUGACUCAAAUCAAACAUAUCGGAUAAAUAUAUCUACUCUCAAAUGGAGACGUCUUAGUACAUGGAACCAAAUGAGGUACCAAUUUGAGAGACAAGUAAUCUGUCAUAUCAACAUCAUAAAUAAAUAAUAAUAUAUUCUCUCUGUCUCUAAAUAAAUUAAUUUCUAAAAUUAUUUUAAAUCAAACUUUUUAUGUUUGACCAAAUUUAUGGAAAAAGUCUAAAUAUUUAUGACACAAAAUAAACAUUUCAUCAGUGACACUAGUUUCAUAUCUUAAAUCUUGACGCUCUGUAACACCCUAAAAAUUGUUUUCUGGGAAAUAGAGCUAAAAUGAUUUAAUUAUGAAUUUUUGUGCUCAUGAAACAUAGGAAAAUAAUAUUUUUCAUUAAACUAAAAUUCAUCAUAGGACGUAGAAAACAUGCUUGAGCAUGCAUGCCUUUGCAUUCUAUUUAUUGUGAUGAGUGUAUUUGAACUCAAAAUUUUAAAAUAAUUCAAAAUGUUUUGAAAUGAUGUGAAAAUAGCUUUGGAAUAAUAAGAAAACAAAAGAAAAGAAAAGGAAAAAAAAACCCCGACCGAACUCCCCCAUUCUUCUCCCUCGCCCGGCCCAAUUCCUCCGCCCCAGCCCAACGCGCUGCGCGGCCCAGCAGUCAGGCUACCAGGCGCGAUUUUCCUUCCCCUCUUCUUGACCCGCUGACAGUCGGGUCCCACCCUUCUUUCUAUGACAAGUGGGGCCUGCGGGACAGCGCUCGUCCCCCACCUCUGUUCGUAGUCGACCCGGACUCACGAACCGGCCGACUCAAUCCCGGGAACAGCGGGAUUCUCUUGCCUUUUGUGCAAAUCAAACCCCUAUAAAGCCCUAGGUAAACCCCGCGGCUCCCUCUUUGCAUCCAAGUUGUGAAACCGAGCCCUAGUCGCCGUAUUCUCUGGAGUUCGGAUCUCGGUGUGGCCGAUCUUGUUCCUCUCCGCGGCAAGCCCUCUCCGUUCUCUCUCGGACCCAACCAAGCGCUUAGACGAGAUCGUGGUGAGCUCCUCUUCAUCCCGGUGUUUUUCUUUCUUGAAACGGUGCUCGGAAACGAGAAGCCAGCGGACGCCGGCGAGCUUCCGGGCGGUGGCCAUGGCGCCACCGAACCGGUGCCCAACUCCGGCCGGAUGUGGGUGACUAGGAAGGCGCCCAGGCUACCAACCGUUCAACCGAAGAUCAACGGCCAGGAUUAAAACAUACCCUUUCGUUGCAAUUCUUCGUAAAGAGUCCCUGAUAGUUUUCCAUAUUUGCCCCGCGGUCCUUGGCGCCCUGAGCAAGAUUCCGUUUUCGAAGUGGGAAAGCGUAUUUUCUGUCGGCCGAGUUCAAAUACGUUUUGCAGAAAUUACAGAAUUGCCACUGAUUUUAUAAUGCUCAUAAAAUAUUCAUUUUAACUCCGUUUUUGUCCAUUCAAAUUUCGUUAGAUUCGUAUUUACGAGCUCUACAUGUUAGAAGUAUUAUUUUACUGUUUUGAAACUUUUUAAUUUCCUGGUACUAUUUAAUUAAUUAUUUCUCUAUAGGAAAUCGUAGAAAACUCAUAACUUCUCCGUUUUAAUUUCGAUUUUCGUGAACUUUACGUUUAUGUGAUCGUAGCGCUGCGUAGAAUAUUUUGAUAAACUUUUAUAUUUGUUUUACUACUGUUUGGUGUAUUGUUCUAAUUGUAGCUUGUUUGCUUCGUGUAUGUUUGUCUCCGAUUGUUUGCGUGCUGUUGAUUGAUGUUUGAGAAUAGACGGUGAGCCGUGCGUUGUUGAUCAAGACCAAGCUUUUAAAGACCAGCAGGCUCAGGAGAGCUUUGAUCAAGGCAAGUAUAACUUGGGACUAUCCUUGUUACCUACACACUUUUAAUACAUAUAUCAUAUGCAUGUGUCCACCUUGAUGACCUUAGCAAAAUCAUAGAUGAUUGUUAUCCUGAAUUCCUUGUUACCUAUUUGGAUAUGCAUUUGGGUAGUUCUUGCUAGUGCUUGAUUAAUAAUCCAUGAUCUUGUAACAUGAAUAUUUGGAUAUACAAUAAACAAUAAAAUAAGCUUUCUAGCAACUUGAACAUAAAGGGUGGAAAGAACUCUAGCUUUUGCUAGAUUGAUCUUGACCCUCCAUAAGGACUUAUCCCUUGGCAAAAGCUGGGACAAUUCGUACAACCAUGAGGGCUAUAUGGCUCUGGUUUUAGCUCAGUAUGAGGACCUUUUUCUAGCUUGUUAGCGGUUACCUUAAAUGGCGUAAGAAUGGCUAGACACGUUGGGUAUAGUGUGGCCUCUGUCCAUGUGUAUAGGUUGCGAGUUAUGUGCCAUGGAAGGGGGGCUCUAUAUCUGCCUGCCGAGUGAAUCUAAUGGCCCUAACUUGUUAGACGAAACCUUUGAAAGGCUUCAUAGUGAUCCCUGCCGACCUCCCUUGGAAGGGGGUUAAGAGACUCAUGACCUCGGGCGAAAGGGUAAAUCACGACUCAUGGGUAAAGAUGUACAACCUCUGCAGAGUGUUAAAUCUGGUAUACUAGCCGUGCCCACGGAUACGGGCGGUCCGGAAAACUGACGGAAUAGAUGGACACUGAUGAACAUGAUUAAUGAUGAUAAAAGAUGGUUUAUUAUGUUGUUUAUAUGUGUUAUUCUUAAUUCUUGUAUACAAUUGAUCAUGUGGUUAUGGGAUUUAAUAUGCUACCUUGAUAUUUGCUAUCCAAUAAUUAAAUAUGCUAUCUACAUAUAAAAGCUAAAUGCAGUCAAACCAGUGUCAGCUAAUUGAGCCUCAUGAACUCCUGGUUAUACUUGUUGAGUACGAUAUGUGCUCACUCUUGCAAUUUCCCCCACACCUCAGGAGAAAUUUUGGGCUUUGUGAUCAACCAGUCAGUUUGAUCCUGUGGAGAGGAGUUAAUACCCGAAGUUUGGAGUUGUCUAUCCGCUGUUUGAUACUGAAGGUUAUUCCUUUUAUAUUAAGUACGUUAUAUAUUUAUGCAUUGUCUUUUGAUAUUACCCCUUAUUUGUAGCUAUAUGUGAGAUUUGACUUCUAAAACUCACAUAUGGUGCAUAUCUGGUUUUGUCCUUAAAAUCGGGUAUUACAAAGUGGUAUCAAAGCAAUGCUGACUGUAGGACGCAAGCCUAGUUAGAAAUUGGUCAUCUUAAGGUUUUGGAAUUGUCAUAAAAUCCUUGCUCUAUAAACCUUGAUAUUUUCAUCCAUACUAUAUCCCUAUCCUUGCUAUUUCUCUACCUUGUUGCUUAUUUUAAGAGUACUUGCUCUCACCUUCACUCCUUGAUUUGGUAUGCUAUUAGAACCUUUUCUUACCACCUUCUUGUGUCCUUGAAAUAUAAGUUUUAGGAUCUUUGCCCUUAAUAGGAAGAGAACGAUAGUACCGCAAGUUGAGUUAAUGCUUGAAGUGUGAACCUUUGAUGCUUGGUUUGGUUUGUUAUUAUGCUUAUGAUUGAUUUGGAUCUUUGUAAUGAGUGCAAUGAUCUUGUGGGUUUUCUCCACGAUAUCAUUUAGUUUAUAGGCCUAAGGCAUAAGGAGUAGUGAAAUAAGUAGUUGGGUUUGGUUAUAUCCUGUUUCUAUCCUUUGCUGUUUUCUGAAACAGACUGCAAUAAUUCUGGUGUAUCUCAAGUUCUGAUCAUGCAACGUCUAUCAAAUUUUUCUGGGAACAACUAGACUUCAAGAUAUUUCUCUGACCGCAAGGAUCACCCUCAUAUCUAUUAUGGUUUGGAAGUUACAAAAAUCACAAGAUGAUACAUAUGUGCUGUCAGGAAUCUGGAUCAGUUCGGUUGCCUACUGUUCUAGACAAAUAUAACUAUAGAAUUUGGAAAAGUGUUCUAUAGAAGAGUUGUAGACAAUUUUCUAAGCUUUCCAACGGUGUAAUCUAGAACUUAUUUGGAUAAGUAGAACCUGAGAUAUGACAGAUGCAAUUGGAUGUUUCUGUUCUAUUUCAAAGUCUGGACAGUCCUAGUAUUUCCUAAUUUCAGCCAAAUUAACUUCAUAAUCUGGGAAAAAGUUGUAUACAAAAGUUUCAGAGGAUUUAAUAAGCUUUUCAACAUUGUAAGGAUCGUCAUUAUAUGGUUUCUAUGGCUCAUGAUAUGACUGUUUCAAGAUGCUGUGUCUGUGUUGUCAGACUUCCUGGACAGAUUUUAUGUUGGAUUAUCAAACCUUAUUUUAACGCCCGAAUAUGGGGAAGUGAUCAACAAGAAAGUUGUGGAGAAUUUGAUAAGCUUUCCAUCAGUGUAGACCAUCACUCUAUCAGGUUGACGGAACAUUAGUUGUAGCUGGUUUACUAAGUUGCUGUUUUUCAUCUUGCGAGGAAUUUCUGAUUUCUUGUUCUUGUCUAUGUAUAUGAGUUCUCUUGGAUAUAAGAAGCUCUUUUAUGGUAGUUAACCUACUCAUAAGAAUGUUCAAGCCAUCCUUGGUAUCCCCUAGCUGAUCUCAUCUUAAGGGGGGUAGCCAAGCUAUAGAAGUUGCAAGACAAAGGUUUUAUGUGUUCAAGUAUUUUAUUUGGAAGAUCUGUUAUUCCUUUGGUGGACAACUCCCUAUCAACCACAAAUAUCUUUGCUCAAGAGUGGUUACUCUUUGCACCAAUGAGUUCAGGUAUUCGUCAAGAUUGGUCUCCACAUUGAGCUAUUAUCAAAUGGAGGUUCAACUUCCAACAUGCCCAAGACAAGAUGACAUUAAUGAUAUUGGAAAGAGAUAUCGAACAUCUACGGAUGAUUCUUCAGAGAGUUAUGAAACCUUAUUAUUUCACCAUGCAUGGCUAGUAAGUUUUGAGUGAACUAAGUUCUCUAAAUUGAAUAUGUUGUCUCUAGUGGUGGGAUUAUGGAGAAGUAUAUGUCGAUGCCAAAGCUCUUAUCAUAAAGAGUGUGCUAGGAAAAGUUUGGACAACACCUAGAUUUGAGGAUUUGUGUGCGGAGGUUGAGUGAUAUUACUAACACUACAAAUUUGGAAAUUAAUAGGGCUCACUUUGGAAGAAGGAGAAGGAUGAUUGUGAAAUGGGACGAUGAAAGUAAUAAGGAGAAAGUUGAGUAUAUCAUGGUUGGAAAUGCAUCAGGUUUUAAAUGGAUGGGCAAGGAACAUAUACCCCAGAUAAGCUAUGAGUAAAAAAAAAACCUUAUCUAUACGAAUUACAUUGCUGAACUCUUGGAAACCAUUGAUGGAGAUGUUUGGAGUGACAAAGGCCAUAGAAUGGUUACUAAGAAAGAGCUACUCAAGGAAGUGAACAAGGUUCAAAAGCGGAGUAUCUACAUCUCUUUGAUCACCAUCUUCCGAAUCUCGAGGACGAGAUUCAUCUUAAGGGGGUAGAUUUGUAACACCCUAAAAAUUGUUUUCUGGGAAAUAGAGCUAAAAUGAUUUAAUUAUGAAUUUUUGUGCUCAUGAAACAUAGGAAAAUAAUAUUUUUCAUUAAACUAAAAUUUAUCAUAGGACGUAGAAAACAUGCUUGAGCAUGCAUGCCUUUGCAUUCUAUUUAUUGUGAUGAGUAUAUUUGAACUCAAAAUUUUAAAAUAAUUCAAAAUGUUUUGAAAUGAUGUGAAAAUAGCUUUGGAAUAAUAAGAAAACAAAAGAAAAGAAAAGGAAAAAAAAACCCCGGCCGAACUCCCCCAUUCUUCUCCCUCGCCCGGCCCAAUUCCUCCGCCCCAGCCCAACGCGCUGCGCGGCCCAGCAGUCAGGCUACCAGGCGCGAUUUUCCUUCCCCUCUUCUUGACCCGCUGACAGUCGGGUCCCACCCUUCUUUCUAUGACAAGUGGGGCCUGCGGGACAGCGCUCGUCCCCUACCUCUGUUCGUAGUCGACCCGGACUCACGAACCGGCCGACUCAAUCCCGGGAACCGCGGGAUUCUCUUGCCUUUUGUGCAAAUCAAACCCCUAUAAAGCCCUAGGUAAACCCCGCGGCUCCCUCUUUGCAUCCAAGUUGUGAAACCGAGCCCUAGUCGCCGUAUUCUCUGGAGUUCGGAUCUCGGCGUGGCCGAUCUUGUUCCUCUCCGCGGCAAGCCCUCUCCGUUCUCUCUCGGACCCAACCAAGCGCUUAGACGAGAUCGUGGUGAGCUCCUCUUCAUCCCGGUGUUUUUCUUUCUUGAAACGGUGCUCGGAAACGAGAAGCCAGCGGACGCCGGCGAGCUUCCGGGCGGUGGCCAUGGCGCCACCGAACCGGUGCCCAACUCCGGCCGGAUGUGGGUGACUAGGAAGGCGCCCAGGCUACCAACCGUUCAACCGAAGAUCAACGGCCAGGAUUAAAACAUACCCUUUCGCUGC